Molecule: non-coding RNA, 683 nt
Filed under: Pongo abelii (Sumatran orangutan)
Lineage: Eukaryota; Metazoa; Chordata; Mammalia; Primates; Hominidae
Source: RNAcentral
CUCCCUCCCUGCUUUCCCUUCCUCCCUGCCUUCCUUCUUCCUUCCUCUCUUUUUUCUUUUCUCCCUUCCUUCCUUCUUAAUAUGUUUUUGGCCUUUUCUUUAUAUAUGUGGCCUAUCAAUAUCAUGUGUUUGGAAAAGCAUAAACUUAAGGCAUCACCUUUACAGAAAAUAUCUUCCAUGGAAACAUCUAAAGGCAAAAAUCCUUCAAAUUCAAAUUUAUCCAAUCAUUUCUUCUGCUUACUACCAUCCUAAAUCAUUUUUCUUUAGUAAGAUCUAUUAGUGUGAAGCUAUUAAGCUAUUAAUGUAAGUAUCAUAUUAAUGUAUUAAGAUAUUAAGUGAGGAAGUAAAGUUGCAUUCAUAGGCCUUGAACUUUUCCACAUCUCGAUUUUUACCCAUCAUCUCUGCAUAUUUUCCUAAGGCAGCCUUCAAAUGGUGAUGUUUCCUGUCAUCCAGAGUUCAGAAGUGCCUUCUCUUCAACCUUUCUGUGGAAUUCUAAACCACGUGAUAAAGGAGCUGGUGCUGUCCUGGGUGGCAUGAGAACCAUGAGCUGAGGAUUGGACAAGCUUGCUCUACAAUAUUCAAAGGCCACAGAUCAGCCCUGGGGUUCAGAGGGAUCCUGACGGCUACUCCUCAAGAUCCUCUCUGUUGUGAUUCAUCCCCCCCAGGCCCUACAGUUUCUCCUU